UUAAUUUGAAUUUUUGGAAUAGGUGUUGGCGGUGUCGGAUAAAUUGCAUUUGUAGGAUACGGAGGCAGACCAUGGAGAAGUGGAUGACAUGACCAAAGUAACUUCCUCGAAUGAGCUGGGUGUUGUUAAUCUGCAAAGAACAUAUACUCUCAAUGAAAUUUAUGUGAGCUCCUUAAGAAUUAUGUUCAUUAUUUAAAUUUGGAAGUGUAGUUGAAUUGAUUACAUUAAUUAGCUUUUGCAUCUAUAUGUUUGAAAGUAAGCUAAGCUUGUCAGAAUGAAAAAACAAAUCAGUCAUUAAAUUUGUACAUUCUGCUAAAUUCAGUUAAAUGUUUUCUUAAUGAGAUACGGAAAGUUUAAUUGCAUUAUUACAAGGUUUGAUAGGAUCUCUAGGUAGGUUAAUAUUGACUAAAACUUUAGAUUUCGAUGUAGCAAGAUUAACUCACAUUGUAGGUUAAGAGCUAUUUGGAGGAUGCUACGGCCCCUACAUGAUCUUGUAAGUAACUUUCAAUGGUGGUGUGAGGUUUUAUCUAAUAAAAAGGGAAAAUUGCCACCAGAAAUGAAGAAUUUCAUGAAUUUUGAUUCAAUUCUGAUUCUACAGUGAGAGAUGAAGGUUUGCUGUAUAUUGAAAAUAGAGAGCUGAAAAGAACUUUAGGAUCUUGUCACAAAAUCAUGGAGUAAAGGAGAAAUAGGUAACACAUUUGAUCGGCAGUUCGUGAGGUUAUAAUUAGAAACAAUUGAGAAGGAAAAUGAACUUUUGUGGUUACUAAAUAUAAAUGUUCUAGAGCUUUAGGAUUUUUUCAAUGUAUAUUAACACAUUGGAGAAGAAGUAAAUGUUGUGUGAAUAGUGUCCUGUGGAAGUUGGAAAAGGAAAAUAUAUGAGGAUUCUUUGUUGUGUCAUAACCAAAUUGCAUGUCUUGAUUAUGAGCUACUUAACAUGUAUGAUCCUCCCAUGCAUUGCAAUUGCAUCCCUCUGUGUACAUCUAUUUACACAUAAGGAUUUCACGAUACAAAUC
RNAcentral lists this long non-coding RNA (1013 nucleotides) under Olea europaea subsp. europaea. The record is from RNAcentral. Lineage: Eukaryota; Viridiplantae; Streptophyta; Magnoliopsida; Lamiales; Oleaceae.